RNAcentral lists this ribosomal RNA (1486 nucleotides) under Lactiplantibacillus plantarum. RNAcentral's name for it is "partial 16S ribosomal RNA". It matches the Rfam family "Bacterial small subunit ribosomal RNA". Lineage: Bacteria; Bacillati; Bacillota; Bacilli; Lactobacillales; Lactobacillaceae. RNAcentral also lists the same sequence under 1 other name. The record is from RNAcentral.
GGCGGCGUGCCUAAUACAUGCAAGUCGAACGAACUCUGGUAUUGAUUGGUGCUUGCAUCAUGAUUUACAUUUGAGUGAGUGGCGAACUGGUGAGUAACACGUGGGAAACCUGCCCAGAAGCGGGGGAUAACACCUGGAAACAGAUGCUAAUACCGCAUAACAACUUGGACCGCAUGGUCCGAGCUUGAAAGAUGGCUUCGGCUAUCACUUUUGGAUGGUCCCGCGGCGUAUUAGCUAGAUGGUGGGGUAACGGCUCACCAUGGCAAUGAUACGUAGCCGACCUGAGAGGGUAAUCGGCCACAUUGGGACUGAGACACGGCCCAAACUCCUACGGGAGGCAGCAGUAGGGAAUCUUCCACAAUGGACGAAAGUCUGAUGGAGCAACGCCGCGUGAGUGAAGAAGGGUUUCGGCUCGUAAAACUCUGUUGUUAAAGAAGAACAUAUCUGAGAGUAACUGUUCAGGUAUUGACGGUAUUUAACCAGAAAGCCACGGCUAACUACGUGCCAGCAGCCGCGGUAAUACGUAGGUGGCAAGCGUUGUCCGGAUUUAUUGGGCGUAAAGCGAGCGCAGGCGGUUUUUUAAGUCUGAUGUGAAAGCCUUCGGCUCAACCGAAGAAGUGCAUCGGAAACUGGGAAACUUGAGUGCAGAAGAGGACAGUGGAACUCCAUGUGUAGCGGUGAAAUGCGUAGAUAUAUGGAAGAACACCAGUGGCGAAGGCGGCUGUCUGGUCUGUAACUGACGCUGAGGCUCGAAAGUAUGGGUAGCAAACAGGAUUAGAUACCCUGGUAGUCCAUACCGUAAACGAUGAAUGCUAAGUGUUGGAGGGUUUCCGCCCUUCAGUGCUGCAGCUAACGCAUUAAGCAUUCCGCCUGGGGAGUACGGCCGCAAGGCUGAAACUCAAAGGAAUUGACGGGGGCCCGCACAAGCGGUGGAGCAUGUGGUUUAAUUCGAAGCUACGCGAAGAACCUUACCAGGUCUUGACAUACUAUGCAAAUCUAAGAGAUUAGACGUUCCCUUCGGGGACAUGGAUACAGGUGGUGCAUGGUUGUCGUCAGCUCGUGUCGUGAGAUGUUGGGUUAAGUCCCGCAACGAGCGCAACCCUUAUUAUCAGUUGCCAGCAUUAAGUUGGGCACUCUGGUGAGACUGCCGGUGACAAACCGGAGGAAGGUGGGGAUGACGUCAAAUCAUCAUGCCCCUUAUGACCUGGGCUACACACGUGCUACAAUGGAUGGUACAACGAGUUGCGAACUCGCGAGAGUAAGCUAAUCUCUUAAAGCCAUUCUCAGUUCGGAUUGUAGGCUGCAACUCGCCUACAUGAAGUCGGAAUCGCUAGUAAUCGCGGAUCAGCAUGCCGCGGUGAAUACGUUCCCGGGCCUUGUACACACCGCCCGUCACACCAUGAGAGUUUGUAACACCCAAAGUCGGUGGGGUAACCUUUUAGGAACCAGCCGCCUAAGGUGGGACAGAUGAUUAGGGUGAAGUCUA